Molecule: transfer RNA, 69 nt
Filed under: Rabdotus mooreanus
Lineage: Eukaryota; Metazoa; Mollusca; Gastropoda; Stylommatophora; Orthalicidae
Description: tRNA-Val
Source: RNAcentral
AGAAAUAAAGUAUUGAGAGUAUGAUUCUUUUACAAAGAAUAGGUCUAUAAGAUUAAUAUAGUAUUUCUA